This 960-nucleotide long non-coding RNA is filed under the name Fukomys damarensis (Damara mole-rat). RNAcentral describes it as "lncRNA (ENSFDAG00000022796.1)". The record is from RNAcentral. Lineage: Eukaryota; Metazoa; Chordata; Mammalia; Rodentia; Bathyergidae.
CAGCACCACAGCAUUGCCCUGAACACUGAUCUUUUUCUCUUCCCCUUGUACAGAUCCCCGUGGUUUCACUGCGCCCACCUGGAUAACCCAAAGACACUUUUCCUUUCUCAAUAUGUGCAACUGAAUCCCACCUGCAAAGUCUCAAUCUACCAUGGACAGUAACACAGUCACAGGCGCCAGAGAUUUGGACGUGAUAUUUUUGGGGGCUGUUACCCUGCUGAUACCCGAGGAUGAGGGUAGGGCAGUAGAAGAAAAGUGAAAAGUAGACAGAAUGGAGAUGCAUCUUGGAGUGUACUGGAUCCCAUUGCUGAUACGAUUAGGAGAUAACAGAGAAACGCCAAUCGAGAGGUGCCAAGCCCAUUCCUUAAAGAGGAUCAUGCAGACUCCUGAGGCCACAAGCGAUCUCCUCCCCAGAGCCAUCCCACUCCACAUCUCAGCCACGUGGGGGUCCCUUGAUGUCAGCUAGCGGAGAGGACCCUGCAGCAGUUGCAGCCUGGGCUGUCUUCCCAGGACAGGUGGGUUUCCCUCAGGAUUGCAGAGGUGGGAGGAGUCUCCUAGAACAUCCUCCUAAAAGGGUUAAAGAGUAGUCACUGUGGCUUGAGCUCCCAGCCACAGCAUUUUCCAGGGAAGCCAAUUGCCAAUUCCCUCUCUGAGAGGCACCCCCAGGCAGAGCUAUGAUGCCACAACCCACUUCCUAGUAUAACCCGUGCCUGCAUUAUUAUUGUUGAAGACAAUGGCAGAAAAUAGCUUUGGCCCCAGCUUUGCCAAGCUGUAAGGCAGCCUGUGCCGAGUGUCCAGCCAUGCACAGAUAUAAAUCCACCUGGAAUGGGCCCAGCCAACUUCGUCUAGAAAGAGCUAGGAAAAAAAAAAAAGUAUUUUCAGUUUUGUGAGCCAUAUGGUCUGUGUUGUAACUAUUCAGCUGGGCCCUUUCAGGGCAAGGGAGCCACAGACAAAUCCUCG